RNAcentral lists this ribosomal RNA (467 nucleotides) under uncultured bacterium. RNAcentral's name for it is "partial 16S ribosomal RNA". It matches the Rfam family "Bacterial small subunit ribosomal RNA", at positions 28 to 507 of the family's 1533-position model. The record is from RNAcentral.
GACGAACGCUGGCGGCGUGCUUAACACAUGCCAGUCGAACGGAAAGGCUCCAGCUUGCUGGCGUACUCGAGUGGCGAACGGGUGAGUAACACGUGGGUAAUCUGCCCUGCACUCUGGGAUAAGCCUGGGAAACUGGGUCUAAUACUGGAUAUGACCUUUCUCCUUAUGGGGUUUGGUGGAAAGUUUUUCGGUGUAGGAUGAGCCCGCGGCCUAUCAGCUUGUUGGUGGGGUGAUGGCCUACCAAGGCGACGACGGGUAGCCGGCCUGAGAGGGUGAUCGGCCACAUUGGGACUGAGAUACGGCCCAGACUCCUACGGGAGGCAGCAGUGGGGAAUAUUGCACAAUGGGCGGAAGCCUGAUGCAGCGACGCCGCGUGAGGGAUGACGGCCUUCGGGUUGUAAACCUCUUUCAGCAGGGACGAAGCGUAAGUGACGGUACCUGCAGAAGAUGCACCGGCUAACUAUGUG